RNAcentral lists this ribosomal RNA (506 nucleotides) under uncultured bacterium. RNAcentral's name for it is "partial 16S ribosomal RNA". It matches the Rfam family "Bacterial small subunit ribosomal RNA", at positions 28 to 523 of the family's 1533-position model. The record is from RNAcentral.
GAUGAACGCUAGCGGCAGGCCUAAUACAUGCAAGUCGGACGGGAUCUAUCGGAGAGCUUGCUCGAAGAUAGUGAGAGUGGCGCACGGGUGCGUAACGCGUGAGCAACCUACCCAUAUCAGGGGGAUAGCCCGGAGAAAUCCGGAUUAAGACCGCAUAACACUGUGAUUUGGCAUCAUGUUACAGUUAAAUAUUUAUAGGAUAUGGAUGGGCUCGCGUGACAUUAGCUAGUUGGUGAGGUAACGGCUCACCAAGGCGACGAUGUCUAGGGGCGCUGAGAGCAGAAUCCCCCACACUGGUACUGAGACACUGACCAGACUCCUACGGGAGGCAGCAGUAAGGAAUAUUGGUCAAUGGGCGGAAGCCUGAACCAGCCAUGCCGCGUGCAGGACGACUGCCCCAUGGGUUGUAAACUGCUUUUGUCGAGGAAUAAACCUAUCUACGUGUAGAUAGCUGAACGUACUCGAAGAAUAAGGAUCGGCUAACUCCGUGCCAGCCGUCGCGGUAA